UGACUCCUCAUACUCCGAUGCCUCCUUAUCCCAUUUAAGUGAUUCUUCCCAAGAAAAUGAGCCCGACAAAUUUUCAAAAUAUUAGUCCCACUCGUAAAGAUACGAGUUUGUUGUCGAAUGACGGACCAUCGACGAGCGGAACUGGCCCCAGAAAACAGCUGAAAAGGAAUCAGAAAACACAACUUGCUAAGCACCAAGCAAGAAGAAGAGCAAGUCUUCCAAGUCCGAGAAUGUGUCUGCGAGAUCCAUUGAAACUAAUCAAGAGAUAAUGUACAUGUAACGUACAACCACCAUUUGAUUAGAUGCCUGUGAACAGCAUGACCAACAUCU
Long non-coding RNA from Strongylocentrotus purpuratus (purple sea urchin), 330 nucleotides. RefSeq lists it as uncharacterized. NCBI's taxonomy places the organism in Eukaryota, Metazoa, Echinodermata, Echinoidea, Camarodonta, Strongylocentrotidae. The record is from RefSeq and is a predicted model, not a curated record. The transcript is spliced from 3 exons.